This 253-nucleotide ribosomal RNA is filed under the name uncultured bacterium. Its description in RNAcentral is "partial 16S ribosomal RNA". It matches the Rfam family "Bacterial small subunit ribosomal RNA", at positions 524 to 776 of the family's 1533-position model. The record is from RNAcentral.
UACGUAGGGGGCUAGCGUUGUCCGGAUUUAUUGGGCGUAAAGAGCGCGUAGGCGGUUAGGUAAGUCCGACGUGAAAUCUGGAGGCUCAACCUCCAGCGGUCGUUGGAAACUACUUGGCUAGAGUCCGGAAGAGGAGAGUGGAAUUCCUGGUGUAGCGGUGAAAUGCGCAGAUAUCAGGAAGAACACCGAUGGCGAAAGCAGCUCUCUGGGACGGUACUGACGCUGAGGCGCGAAAGCGUGGGGAGCGAACAGG